This 423-nucleotide ribosomal RNA is filed under the name uncultured bacterium. Its description in RNAcentral is "bacterial SSU rRNA". It matches the Rfam family "Bacterial small subunit ribosomal RNA", at positions 355 to 775 of the family's 1533-position model. The record is from RNAcentral.
UAAGGAAUAUUGGUCAAUGGGCGAAAGCCUGAACCAGCCAUGCCGCGUGAAGGAUGAAGGUCCUCUGGAUUGUAAACUUCUUUUAUCAGGGAAGAAAUGUCUCGUUUCUACGGGAUUUGACGGUACCUGAGGAAUAAGCACCGGCUAACUCCGUGCCAGCAGCCGCGGUAAUACGGAGGGUGCAAGCGUUAUCCGGAUUUACUGGGUUUAAAGGGUGCGUAGGCGGGCCUUUAAGUCAGUGGUGAAAUCUCCCCGCUCAACGGGGAAACUGCCAUUGAUACUAUUGGUCUUGAAUUUAGUUGAGGUGGGCGGAAUGUGUCGUGUAGCGGUGAAAUGCUUAGAUAUGACACAGAACACCGAUUGCGAAGGCAGCUCGCUAAACUAAUAUUGACGCUGAGGCACGAAAGCGUGGGGAUCAAACAG